UAAUAUGUUACUCCUCUUGAUUUUGAAGUUCUUUGAUCCCAGUUUCUUCAACUUUUUGUAAAUUAAGCUUUCAUUUCCUGCUUCCAUCAUGUUAAGCUGUGUUUGAUUGUUUUGUGCUCAUCAUGUUAAGCUGUGUUUGAUUGUUUUGCAGUGUUACUUGAUGUAUAUAUCUCCUCACUGUUAUAAAUUCCUUCAUUGAUAAUAUUUUAAGUUCUUGCUUUCUUAUCAUCUUGUACUUUGUUCAAGAGUUGUUGCAGUUGGGAGCUCCUGAGAUUGUUCCAGAUUAUCCAAUUCUUUCUGUUGACGACCUAGCAGAUCAAAUAGCCGAGGUUCUCAACUUUUUUGGUCUUAGUGCAGUAAUGUGCAUGGGAGUAGCUGCCGGAGCUUACAUUCUUACCUUAUUUGCU
Molecule: non-coding RNA, 407 nt
Organism: Arachis ipaensis
Lineage: Eukaryota; Viridiplantae; Streptophyta; Magnoliopsida; Fabales; Fabaceae
Source: RefSeq, a predicted model, not a curated record